AGAGUUUGAUUCUGGCUCAGAACGAACGCUGGCAGCGUGGAUUAGGCAUGCAAGUCGAACGGGAUCCUGUUUUUUCAAUUCUUCGGAAGAGAAGUUUCAGGUGAGAGUGGCGGAAGGGUGAGUAACGCGUGGAUAAGCUACCCUCGGGUUGGGGACAACCCGCCGAAAGGCGGGCUAAUACCGAAUAUGAUUAGCCGGUCGCAUGACUGGUUUCUCAAAGGUGGGGACCUUCGGGCCUGCCCCCCGGGGAUGUGUCCGCGUGCCAUCAGCUUGUUGGUAGGGUAACGGCCUACCAAGGCUUACGGCUAGCUGGUCUGAAAGGAUGAUCAGCCACACUGGGACUGAGACACUGCCCAGACUCCUACGGGAGGCUGCAGUCGAGAAUCAUUCGCAAUGCGCGAAAGCGUGACGAUGCGACGCUGCGUGGAGGAUGACGGCCUUCGGGUUGUAAACUCCUGUCAUGAGGGAAAAGACGGUCGCCGGUUAAUAUCCGGUGGCUCCGAUGGUACCUCAAGAGGAAGCCACGGCUAACUCUGUGCCAGCAGCCGCGGUAAUACAGAGGUGGCAAGCGUUGUUCGGAUUUACUGGGCGUAAAGGGUGCGUAGGCGGUUUGGCAAGUCGGAUGUGAAAUCCCGGGGCUCAACUCCGGACGUGCGUCCGAAACUGCUGAACUUGAGCGUGGAAGAGGAGAGCGGAAUUCACGGUGUAGCGGUGAAAUGCGUUGAUAUCGUGAAGAACGCCGGAGGCGAAGGCGGCUCUCUGGUACACGGCUGACGCUGAGGCACGAAAGCGUGGGGAGCAAACAGGAUUAGAUACCCUGGUAGUCCACGCCGUAAACGGUGCGCACUUGUCGUCGGGGGAUUUGACCCCUUCGGUGACGGAGUUAACGCGUUAAGUGCGCCGCCUGGGGAGUACGGCCGCAAGGUUAAAACUCAAAGAAAUUGACGGGGGCCCGCACAAGCGGAGGAGCAUGUGGCUUAAUUCGAUGCAACGCGAAGAACCUUACCCAGGCUUGACAUCGGGGAGGCUUGCCUCCAAGGCAUGAAAAUGCCCUAACCAGACAGGUGCUGCAUGGCUGUCGUCAGUUCGUGCCGUGAGGUGUUGGGUUAAGUCCCGCAACGAACGCAACCCCUGCGUCCAGUUGCCAGCAGGUUAUGCUGGGGACUCUGGACGGACUGCCCGUGCAAUCGGGAGGAAGGUGGGGACGACGUCAAGUCAGUAUGGCCCUUACGCCUGGGGCUGCACACGUGCUACAAUGGCCGGUCCAAUGGGACGCGAGACCGCGAGGUGGAGCAAAUCCCCAAAGCCGGCCCCAGUUCGGAUUGGAGUCUGCAACUCGACUCCAUGAAGUUGGAUUCGCUAGUAACGGCGUAUCAGCUACGACGCCGUGAAUACGUUCCCGGGCCUUGUACACACCGCCCGUCACAUCAUGAAAGCCGUCUGCACCCGAAGUCGCUGGCCGAACCCUCACGGGACGGAGGCGCCGAAGGUGUGGGUGGUGAUUGGGAUGAAGUCGUAACAAGGUA
Molecule: ribosomal RNA, 1526 nt
Filed under: metagenome
Description: bacterial SSU rRNA
Rfam family: Bacterial small subunit ribosomal RNA
Source: RNAcentral